GGGCGGGGCGCAGCCCGGCGCCCGCCGGGGUGCGGAGACUUGGCUUUUCCCGUCAGAGAGAAGAGACAAUGGAAGAAAACAUGUCAGGAAAUUGUGAAUAAACUUCCUGCUGCCAUUCUAUUAGGGUGCAAAAUCUGCUAUUCAAAGCUGAACUUGUGGAGGCUACUACCCUCUCCAGACCCUGUGACACUCAAGAGAGGGUCCAGUGAUCUGACUGUUUUGAGGCAGUCUGGAAGGUAUGUUCACUGCUGAGCUGAUGAACCAAACUGUUUGGCCAGCCUUGUCUCACAAACCUGUUUGCUCUUAAGAGAGAGAAGAGCUCUUCCUUACAGGCAGCUGAGGAACAUGGUGACACAGACAUAUGAAAUCCACAGCACACAGGGAUGCAAGCAUCAGGAAACAACUUGUGUGACCUCCUCUAAUUCACAGCAACAGUUUAAACAGACAGGCUGUGACUUGCUUCCCUGUAAGUGCUUCUUCAUUGGAUUACUUUCUUUCACCUUGUGCUCCUUCAGAUGUUUCUCGACUGCACUGAAGAGGCUGAGAACAGUAAGUAGAAAAAUAAUUUAGAUUUAA
Lonchura striata (white-rumped munia) is the source of this 576-nucleotide non-coding RNA. NCBI's taxonomy places the organism in Eukaryota, Metazoa, Chordata, Aves, Passeriformes, Estrildidae. The record is from RefSeq and is a predicted model, not a curated record.